AGCGAACGCUGGCGGCAUGCUUAACACAUGCAAGUCGCACGGUCAGCAAUGGCAGUGGCGGACGGGUGAGGUAACACGUAGGAAUCUAUCCUGGGGUGGGGGACAACAGCGGGAAACUGCUGCUAAUACCGCAUGAUACCUGAGGGUCAAAGGCGCAAGUCGCCUUAGGAGGAGCCUGCGUCUGAUUAGCUUGUUGGUGGGGUAAAGGCCCUACCAAGGCGACGAUCAGUAGCUGGUCUGAGAGGAUGAUCAGCCACAUUGGGACUGAGACACGGCCCAAACUCCUACGGGAGGCAGCAGUGGGGAAUAUUGGACAAUGGGCGAAAGCCUGAUCCAGCAAUGCCGCGUGUGUGAAGAAGGUCUUCGGAUUGUAAAGCCCUUUCGACGGGGACGAUGAUGACGGUACCCGUAGAAGAAGCCCCGGCUAACUUCGUG
This 435-nucleotide ribosomal RNA is filed under the name uncultured bacterium. Its description in RNAcentral is "bacterial SSU rRNA". It matches the Rfam family "Bacterial small subunit ribosomal RNA", at positions 29 to 507 of the family's 1533-position model. The record is from RNAcentral.